GGUCACCUCACAGGAAGAAAAUGCUGAUGAAGCACGAGGCACUAAGCUGCCCUAAGAUGACUGGUGACUCUUGAGUGUCCAGUUUGUUUAUCAACCUCUGUUGUCAUCUAUAAAAGAAAGUUUGGAUCCUGGAACCCUGAAUAUUUAUUUCAACUUUAAGCAGGAUUUCAAUGGUUAAGAGGCUGCCCAUACGUACCUGUCCUUACUGUGUUAAAAGUUAAGAUGGGGGCUGGUGAGAUGGCUCAGUGGGUAAGAGCACCCGACUGCUCUUCCGAAGGUCCGGAGUUCAAAUCCCAGCAACCACAUGGUGGCUCACAACCAUCUGUAACAAGAUCUGAUGCCCUCUUCUGGAGUGUCUGAAGACAGCUACAGUGUACUUACAUAUAAUAAAUAAAUCUU
RNAcentral lists this long non-coding RNA (399 nucleotides) under Mus musculus (house mouse). RNAcentral's name for it is "predicted gene 3625". Lineage: Eukaryota; Metazoa; Chordata; Mammalia; Rodentia; Muridae. The record is from RNAcentral.